UACGGAGAGUGCAAGCAUUAAUCGGAAUUAUUGGGCGUAAAGGGCGCGUAGGCGGGAUGAUAAGUUGUAUGUGAAAUUCCGGAGCUCAACUUCGGAGCUGCAUACAAAACUGCCAUUCUGGAGGGUUGACGGAGAAAACGGAAUUCCACGUGUAGCGGUGAAAUGCGUAGAUAUGUGGAAGAACACCGGUGGCGAAAGCGGUUUUCUAGUUAAUACCUGACGCUGAGGCGCGAGAGCAAGGGGAGCAAACAGG
Molecule: ribosomal RNA, 253 nt
Filed under: uncultured bacterium
Lineage: Bacteria
Description: partial 16S ribosomal RNA
Rfam family: Bacterial small subunit ribosomal RNA
Source: RNAcentral